ACCUGAAGUCUCUACAAUGAAUUGUAAAUAUUAAUAGGAUUACUAGUAUCUAAUAUCUAGAUCAUUGAAUUAUAAAUUGAGAAGUUGUAAGGAGUAAUCAUAUAAUUAUCUUGCUUAGCAACUGAUUGCUUCUUCUUCUUCGGCCUGCUCUGGUCAAGAGAAGCAAUGUAUUGAGGAUAGUUUUUCUUUCAAUGAUCCUACUUCCUACAGUAAAAGCACUCUGUCUG
RNAcentral lists this long non-coding RNA (227 nucleotides) under Elaeis guineensis (African oil palm). Its description in RNAcentral is "long non-coding RNA (EGUI_LNC069631)". The record is from RNAcentral. Lineage: Eukaryota; Viridiplantae; Streptophyta; Magnoliopsida; Arecales; Arecaceae.